This 278-nucleotide ribosomal RNA is filed under the name uncultured bacterium. RNAcentral describes it as "partial 16S ribosomal RNA". It matches the Rfam family "Bacterial small subunit ribosomal RNA", at positions 506 to 784 of the family's 1533-position model. The record is from RNAcentral.
UGCCAGCCGCCGCGGUAAUACGUAGGGGGCAAGCGUUAUCCGGAAUCACUGGGCGUAAAGGGUGCGUAGGCGGCUAAGUAAGCCAGGGGUGAAAGGCUACGGCUCAACCGUAGUAAGCCUUUGGAACUACUUAGCUUGAGUGCAGGAGAGGAGAGUGGAAUUCCUAGUGUAGCGGUGAAAUGCGUAGAUAUUAGGAGGAACACCAGUGGCGAAGGCGACUCUCUGGACUGUAACUGACGCUGAGGCACGAAAGCGUGGGGAGCAAACAGGAUUAGAUA